GAGUUUGUAUCCUGGCUCAGGACGAACGCUGGCGGCGUGCUUAACACAUGCAAGUCGAACGGUGACCCUGGAGCUUGCUCCGGGUGAUCAGUGGCGAACGGGUGAGUAACACGUGAGCAACCUGCCCGUUCACUCUGGGAUAACGUCCGGGAAACCGGGGCUAAUACCGGAUAAGGCCCGAGUGGGCAUCCACAGCGGGUGGAAAGUUUUUCGGUGAAGGAUGGGCUCGCGGCCUAUCAGCUAGUUGGUGAGGUAACGGCCCACCAAGGCGACGACGGGUAGCCGGCCUGAGAGGGCGACCGGCCACACUGGGACUGAGACACGGCCCAGACCUCCUACGGGAGGCAGCAGUGGGGAAUAGUUGCACAAUGGGCGAAAGCCUGAUGCAGCGACGCCGCGUGAGGGAUGAAGGCCU
This 415-nucleotide ribosomal RNA is filed under the name uncultured bacterium. RNAcentral's name for it is "bacterial SSU rRNA". It matches the Rfam family "Bacterial small subunit ribosomal RNA", at positions 9 to 417 of the family's 1533-position model. The record is from RNAcentral.